GACAGAGGGGGCAAGCGUUGCUCGGAAUUACUGGGCGUAAAGGGCGCGUAGGCGGGAUGGCAAGUCGGUCGUGAAAUCCCUCGGCUCAACCGAGGAACGUCGAUCGAUACUGCUGUUCUUGAGGAUUGCAGAGGAGACUGGAAUUCCCGGUGUAGCGGUGAAAUGUGUAGAGAUCGGGAGGAACACCGGUGGCGAAGGCGGCAUCCUGGACCAAUACUGACACUGAGGAGCGAAAGCCAGGGGAGCAAACGGG
This 253-nucleotide ribosomal RNA is filed under the name uncultured bacterium. Its description in RNAcentral is "partial 16S ribosomal RNA". It matches the Rfam family "Bacterial small subunit ribosomal RNA", at positions 524 to 776 of the family's 1533-position model. The record is from RNAcentral.